CAAUGGGCGAAAGCCUGACGCAGCAACGCGCGUGCGGGAAGAAGGCCUUCGGGUGUAAACCGCUUCAGCAGGACGAAAAUGACGGUACCUGCAGAAGAAGGUGCGGCCAACUACGUGCCAGCAGCCGCGGUGACACGUAGGCACCAAGCGUUGUCCGGAUUUAUUGGGCGUAAAGAGCUCGUAGGCGGUUCAGUAAGUCGGGUGUGAAAAACUCUGGGCUUAACCCAGAGCCGCCACCCGAUACUGCUGUGACUAGAGUCCGGUAGGGGAGUGGGGAAUUCCUAGUGUAGCGGUGAAAUGCGCAGAUAUUAGGAGGAACACCGGUGGCGAAGGCGCCACUCUGGGCCGGAACUGACGCUGAGGAGCGAAAGCGUGGGUAGCAAACAGGAUUAGAUACCCUGGUAGUCCACGCCGUAAACGUUGGGCACUAGGUGUGGGCCUCAACCAACGAGGUCCGUGCCGUCGCUAACGCAUUAAGUGCCCCGCCUGGGGAGUACGGCCGCAAGGCUA
Molecule: ribosomal RNA, 510 nt
Filed under: uncultured Actinomycetes bacterium
Lineage: Bacteria; Bacillati; Actinomycetota; Actinomycetes
Description: bacterial SSU rRNA
Rfam family: Bacterial small subunit ribosomal RNA
Source: RNAcentral